RNAcentral lists this ribosomal RNA (506 nucleotides) under uncultured Glomus. Its description in RNAcentral is "SSU rRNA". It matches the Rfam family "Eukaryotic small subunit ribosomal RNA", at positions 569 to 1079 of the family's 1831-position model. Lineage: Eukaryota; Fungi; Glomeromycota; Glomeromycetes; Glomerales; Glomeraceae. The record is from RNAcentral.
AGCAGCCGCGGUAAUUCCAGCUCCAAUAGCGUAUAUUAAAGUUGCUGCAGUUAAAAAGCUCGUAGUUGAAUUUCGGGAUCAAUAUGUUGGUCGUGCCUCGGUACGUACUAGCUUAUUGGUUUCUCCCUUCUGACGAACCAUGAUGUCAUUUAUUUGGUGUUAUGGGAAAUCAGGACUGUUACUUUGAAAAAAUUAGAGUGUUUAAAGCAGGCUCACGCUUGAAUACAUUAGCAUGGAAUAAUGAAAUAGGACGUUUGAUUCUAUUUUGUUGGUUUCUAGGAUCGACGUAAUGAUUAAUAGGGAUAGUUGGGGGCAUUAGUAUUCAAUUGUCAGAGGUGAAAUUCUUGGAUUUAUUGAAGACUAACUACUGCGAAAGCAUUUGCCAAGGAUGUUUUCAUUAAUCAAGAACGAAAGUUAGGGGAUCGAAGACGAUCAGAUACCGUCGUAGUCUUAACCAUAAACUAUGCCGACUAGGGAUCGGAUGAUGUUAAUUUUUAAUGACUCAU